This 255-nucleotide unclassified non-coding RNA is filed under the name uncultured fungus. Its description in RNAcentral is "partial contains 5.8S ribosomal RNA, internal transcribed spacer 2, and large subunit ribosomal RNA". The stretch from base 1 to 52 matches the Rfam family "5.8S ribosomal RNA", at positions 103 to 154 of the family's 154-position model. Lineage: Eukaryota; Fungi. The record is from RNAcentral.
AACGCACAUUGCGCCCGCCAGUAUUCUGGCGGGCAUGCCUGUCUGAGCGUCAUUUCAACCCCUCAGGCCCCUUGCGGCCUGGUGUUGGGGAUCGACCAACCCCUCGGGCGGUCGGCCCUGAAAUACAGUGGCGGUCCCGUCGCGGCCCCCUCUGCGUAGUAGCACACCUCGCAGUGGAGAGCGGCGCGGCCACGCCCAAACCCCAUACUUUUUAAGGUUGACCUCAGAUCAGGUAGGAAUACCCGCUGAACUUAA